This is an RNA transcript of Sorghum bicolor (sorghum), 1152 nucleotides long. It is a transcript of the gene named VAMP-like protein YKT61, with no coding region annotated. Lineage: Eukaryota; Viridiplantae; Streptophyta; Magnoliopsida; Poales; Poaceae. The record is from RefSeq and is a predicted model, not a curated record. The transcript is spliced from 7 exons.
GCUGGGCCCGCUGUCAGACCUUCCCCUUCUGUGGGAAUCGUUUUGUUUUCGUGCUGCGAGUGGGUUGAGAAGGGGAAAGGGCGCUUGCUUUAUAUUCGUUCUCGGCUCCGAUCUCCGUCCAUCCAGUCGUCUUGGGGCAGCCAAGAGGUAGAGUGCGCGUGGAUCUUUCCGUGGAAGGGAUGAAGAUUACGGCGCUCCUGGUGCUGAAGCCGUCGACCUCCGGAGCCGGGAGCUCCUCGUCCGGCGGCGAGUCGGGCCCGGAGGCGGUGGUGCUCGCGAACGCGACGGACGUCAGCCACUUCGGCUACUUCCAGCGCAGCGCCGCCCGCGAAUUCAUCGUCUUCGUUGCCCGCACCGUCGCUCAGCGCACCCAGCCAGGCCAGCGGCAGUCCGUCCAGCACGAAGAAUACAAGGUCCACUCCCACAACAGAAAUGGGCUUUGUGCGGUGGCAUUCAUGGAUGAUCACUAUCCUGUACGAAGUGCAUUUUCUCUCCUGAAUAAGGUUCUUGAUGAGUACCAGAAGGCUUUUGGGGACUCCUGGAAAUCUGCUACUGCAGAUGGAACUCAAGAGUGGGCUUUCCUGACAGAUGCCUUGACAAAAUUUCAGGACCCUGCGGAAGCUGACAAAUUAAUGAAAAUCCAGAGGGACUUGGAUGAAACAAAAAUUAUACUUCAUAAAACUAUUGAGAGUGUCCUUGCCAGAGGAGAGAGAUUGGAUAGCUUGGUUGAGAAAAGCUCUGAUCUAAGUGCUGCUUCACAGAUGUUCUACAAGCAGGCAAAGAAGACAAACUCAUGCUGCACAAUACUUUAAACUUUGGCGCUUCCAUAUCAUGGUUGCAAGGUGGUUAAUGCUGUUUUUGAGAAAAAAACGGUCGAUAUUGUGCUAAUUUAUUGUAAGUUAAGUCGCCCAUGAAGCGUGGAUACGUGGUUGCAAGGCUCGAGCUCAGUGCUAUUGGUCUCAGUUUGGAAGGCUGUAGUUUUCUCCAAGACCUACCAGAAUUGUACCGUUUUCUUACGAGAAUUCCAGCUCUCCCAACAGGCCAGGGACUUUCAUCAUUCUUUAGUGAUGAAACCUUGUAGCACCCACUAACACCAUUCAUUGUACUAUAUAAGGCUUGCCUCAAACUGCAGAAGUUAUCAGUACUGUUAAA